This 691-nucleotide small RNA is filed under the name Pan troglodytes (chimpanzee). RNAcentral's name for it is "retained intron". The record is from RNAcentral. Lineage: Eukaryota; Metazoa; Chordata; Mammalia; Primates; Hominidae.
GAGAAGAGGAGGUUGGCGUGGAGCACAGGCAGCACCGAGCCUGCCCCACGAGCUGAGGGCCUGCAGUCUGCGGCUGGAAUCAGGAUGGACACCAAGGCAGGACCCCCAGAGAUGCUGAAGCCUCUUUGGAGAGCAGCAGUGGCCCCCACAUGGCCAUGCUCCAUGCCGCCCCGCCGCCUGUGGGACAGAGAGGCUGGCACGUUGCAGGUCCUGGGAGCGCUGGCUGUGCUGUGGCUGGGCUCCGUGGCUCUUAUCUACCUCCUGUGGCAAGUGCCCCGUCCUCCCACCUGGGGCCAGGUGCAGCCCAAGGACGUGCCCAGGUCCUGGGAGCAUGGUUCCAGCCCAGCUUGGGAGCCCCUGGAAGCAGAGGCCAGGCAGCAGAGGGACUCCUGCCAGCUUGUCCUUGUGGAAAGCAUCCCCCAGGACCUGCCAUCUGCAGCUGGCAGCCCCUCUGCCCAGCCUCUGGGCCAGGCCUGGCUGCAGCUGCUGGACACUGCCCAGGAGAGCGUCCACAUGGCUUCAUACUACUGGUCCCUCACAGGGCCCGACAUCGGGGUCAACGACUCAUCUUCCCAGCUGGUGCGCCCCGCCCUGGCCCCACCGCAUCCUGGUGCUGGAAACACAGCAAGUCAGGCUGCCUAUCUAUGCAGGCGUCUCGGGCACCAGGCCCGGGGGCUCAGCUCGGUGGUAG